Molecule: unclassified non-coding RNA, 28 nt
Filed under: Dictyostelium discoideum
Lineage: Eukaryota; Evosea; Eumycetozoa; Dictyosteliales; Dictyosteliaceae
Source: RNAcentral
CCUUGUUGGUCUAGUGGUGAGGAUUUUC